This 77-nucleotide transfer RNA is filed under the name Clostridia bacterium. RNAcentral describes it as "tRNA-Ile". It matches the Rfam family "tRNA". From Rfam's summary of the family: Transfer RNA (tRNA) molecules are approximately 80 nucleotides in length. Lineage: Bacteria; Bacillati; Bacillota; Clostridia. The record is from RNAcentral.
GCGUCAUUAGCUCAGGUGGUUAGAGCGCUACCCUGAUAAGGUAGAGGUCGCUGGUUCGAGUCCAAUAUGACGCACCA